Molecule: ribosomal RNA, 495 nt
Filed under: uncultured bacterium
Lineage: Bacteria
Description: partial 16S ribosomal RNA
Rfam family: Bacterial small subunit ribosomal RNA
Source: RNAcentral
GACGAACGCUGGCGGCGUGCCUAAUACAUGCAAGUAGAACGCUGAAGGAGGAGCUUGCUUCUCUGGAUGAGUUGCGAACGGGUGAGUAACGCGUAGGUAACCUGCCUGGUAGCGGGGGAUAACUAUUGGAAACGAUAGCUCAUACCGCAUAACAGUAGAUAUCGCAUGAUAUCUACUUGAAAGGUGCAAUUGCAUCACUACCAGAUGGACCUGCGUUGUAUUAGCUAGUUGGUGAGGUAACGGCUCACCAAGGCGACGAUACAUCGCCGACCUGGGAGGGGGAUCGGCCAAACUGGGAAUGAGACACGGCCCAGAAUCCUACGGGAGGCAGCAGGAGGGAAUCUUCGGCAAUGGACGGAAGGCUGACCGAGCAACGCCGCGGGAGUGAAGAAGGGUUUCGGAUCGUAAAGCUCUGUUGUAAGAGAAGAACGAGUGUGAUAGGGGAAAGUGCACACUGUGACGGUACCUUACCAGAAAGGGACGGCUAACUACGUG